GACGAACGCUGGCGGCGUGCCUAAUACAUGCAAGUCGAGCGGACUUUCAUUGGUGCUUGCACCUUUGAAAGUUAGCGGCGGACGGGUGAGUAACACGUGGGUAACCUACCCUGUAGAUUGGGAUAACUCCGGGAAACCGGGGCUAAUACCGAAUAACACUUUUGAACUCAUGUUCGAAAGUUAAAAGAUGGUUUCGUCUAUCACUACAGGAUGGGCCCGCGGCGCAUUAUCUAGUUGGUGAGGUAACGGCUCACCGAGGCAACGAUGCGUAGCCGACCUGAGAGGGUGAUCGGCCACACUGGGACUGAGACACGGACCAGACUCCUACGGGAGGCAGCAGUAGGGAAUCUUCCACAAUGGACGAAAGUCUGAUGGAGCAACGCCGCGUGAGUGAAGAAGGAUUUCGGUUCGUAAAACUCUGUUGCAAGGGAAGAACAAGUAGCGUAGUAACUGGCGCUACCUUGACGGUACCUUGUUAGAAAGCCACGGCUAACUACGUGCCAGCCGCCGCCGUAA
RNAcentral lists this ribosomal RNA (516 nucleotides) under uncultured bacterium. Its description in RNAcentral is "partial 16S ribosomal RNA". It matches the Rfam family "Bacterial small subunit ribosomal RNA", at positions 28 to 523 of the family's 1533-position model. The record is from RNAcentral.